GUGAGGAAUAUUGCGCAAUGGAGGCAACUCUGACGCAGCCAUGCCGCGUGCAGGAAGAAGGCGCUACGCGUUGUAAACUGCUUUUAACCGGGAAGAAACCCCAGGACGUGUCCUGGGUUGACGGUACCGGAGGAAUAAGCACCGGCUAACUUCGUGCCAGCAGCCGCGGUAAUACGAAGGGUGCAAGCGUUAUCCGGAUUCAUUGGGUUUAAAGGGUGCGUAGGCGGAGCGUUAAGUCAGUGGUGAACUCCUGCAGCUUAACUGUAGACUUGCCAUUGAUACUGGCGCUCUUGAGUGCGCUUGAAGUGGGCGGAAUGUGCCGUGUAGCGGUGAAAUGCUUAGAUAUGGCACAGAACACCAAUUGCGAAGGCAGCUCACUAAGGCGAUACUGACGCUGAGGCACGAAAGCGUGGGGAUCGAACAGGAUUAGAUACCCGAGUAGUCC
This 445-nucleotide ribosomal RNA is filed under the name uncultured bacterium. RNAcentral's name for it is "partial 16S ribosomal RNA". It matches the Rfam family "Bacterial small subunit ribosomal RNA", at positions 354 to 796 of the family's 1533-position model. The record is from RNAcentral.